RNAcentral lists this transfer RNA (72 nucleotides) under Bos taurus (domestic cattle). It matches the Rfam family "tRNA". From Rfam's summary of the family: Transfer RNA (tRNA) molecules are approximately 80 nucleotides in length. Their secondary structure includes four short double-helical elements and three loops (D, anti-codon, and T loops). Lineage: Eukaryota; Metazoa; Chordata; Mammalia; Artiodactyla; Bovidae. The record is from Rfam by way of RNAcentral. RNAcentral also lists the same sequence under 2 other names.
UCCCUUGUAGCUCAGCUGGUAAAGAAUCUGCCUGCAUUGCAGAAGAUCUGGGUUCGAUUCCUGGGUUGGGAA